CGGACGGGUGAGUAACGCGUGAGAAUCUGCCUUCAGGAUGGGGACAACAGUUAGAAAUGACUGCUAAUACCCAAUGAGCCGCAAGGUAAAAGAUUUAUCGCCUGAAGAGGAGCUCGCGUCCGAUUAGCUAGUUGGGGUGGUAAAAGCGCACCAAGGCAACGAUCGGUAGCUGGUCUGAGAGGAUGAGCAGCCACACUGGGACUGAGACACGGCCCAGACUCCUACGGGAGGCAGCAGUGGGGAAUUUUCCGCAAUGGGCGCAAGCCUGACGGAGCAAUACCGCGUGAGGGAGGAAGGCUUUUGGGUUGUAAACCUCUUUUCUCAAGGAAGAAGAACUGACGGUACUUGAGGAAUCAGCAUCGGCUAACUCCGUGCCAGCAGCCGCGGUAAUACGGAGGAUGCAAGCGUUAUCCGGAAUUAUUGGGCGUAAAGCGUCCGCAGGUGGUGCAUCAAGUCUGCUGUCAAAGACCAGGGCUUAACCCUGGGCAGGCGGUGGAAACUGGUGGACUAGAGUACGGUAGGGGUAGAGGGAAUUCCCAGUGUAGCGGUGAAAUGCGUAGAGAUUGGGAAGAACACCAGUGGCGAAGGCGCUCUACUGGACCUGUACUGACACUCAGGGACGAAAGCUAGGGGAGCGAAAGGGAUUAGAUACCCCUGUAGUC
RNAcentral lists this ribosomal RNA (662 nucleotides) under uncultured cyanobacterium. RNAcentral describes it as "bacterial SSU rRNA". It matches the Rfam family "Bacterial small subunit ribosomal RNA", at positions 99 to 795 of the family's 1533-position model. Lineage: Bacteria; Bacillati; Cyanobacteriota. The record is from RNAcentral.